UGGGUGUGAAGAAAUACUAAUUUCAAAUACAAAAGUGGAAAAAACUCCUAUAAGGUUUAACCAAAACGCUUCGACUUAAAGGGUCACUAGCUGUCAAAUUCAUGACCACCGAUUUGACUCAAAUUCUCAUAUUUGAUUUAUAACAAUGUAAAACAUUAAUCCAAACUAUCAAAAGUCUAAAAUAACUAGCUUACAGAGCAUGUGGUAGAUAAUAUAUAGGUUCGUGUCAUGUGUAUUUUACUUCAGACGCCAUCUAAUUAACUAUCGGUUUGACCUCAGAUGACCAUAUACGCGAUGUAAAAACAUAUAAAGAUAUGAAUAGAUUAAACCAACACGUGCAAUUGGAUUUUUAUAGGUCUGUUUGAUUUGAUUUUAAAGAUUAAAAAAUUGAUGUUUCCCAUUGUGUUUAACCGUGUAAGAAUGAUUUUAUGAGCAUCGAAUUAGUAAUCAAAUGAUUUACCGUAGUUUCACUUUCAUUGUUGACAUUCUUUUUCUUUAAAUAACCAGAACACGUACAAUACAUGCGUUGUCAAUCUCUAGCUAGGGGUUAAAUUGAAGUUCAC
RNAcentral lists this long non-coding RNA (563 nucleotides) under Mytilus galloprovincialis (Mediterranean mussel). Lineage: Eukaryota; Metazoa; Mollusca; Bivalvia; Mytilida; Mytilidae. The record is from RNAcentral.